UACGUAGGUGGCAAGCGUUGUCCGGAUUUACUGGGCGUAAAGGGCGUGCAGGCGGUCUGUUAAGUGCAGGGUGAAAGCUCCCGGCUCAACUGGGAGAGGUCCUUGCAUACUGGCGGACUUGAGGGGGGUAGAGGAAAGUGGAAUUCCCGGUGUAGUGGUGAUAUGCGUAGAUAUCAGGAGGAACACCGGUGGCGAAGGCGGGUCUCUGGGCCGAUACUGACGCUGAGGAGCGAAAGCGUGGGGAGCGAACAGG
This 253-nucleotide ribosomal RNA is filed under the name uncultured bacterium. RNAcentral describes it as "partial 16S ribosomal RNA". It matches the Rfam family "Bacterial small subunit ribosomal RNA", at positions 524 to 776 of the family's 1533-position model. The record is from RNAcentral.